AUUGAACGCUGGCGGCAGGCCUAACACAUGCAAGUCGAGCGGAUGAAGGGAGCUUGCUCCUGGCUUCAGCGGCGGACGGGUGAGUAAUGCCUAGGAAUCUGCCUGGUAGUGGGGGAUAACGUCCGUAAACGGGCGCUAAUACCGCAUACGUCCUGAGGGAGAAAGGGGGGGAUCUUCGGACCUCACGCUAUCAGAUGAGCCUAGUUCGCAUUAGCUAGUUGGUGGGGUAAAGGCCUACCAAGGCGACGAUCCGUAACUGGUCUGAGAGGAUGAUCAGUCACACUGGAACUGAGACACGGUCCAGACUCCUACGGGAGGCAGCAGUGGGGAAUAUUGGACAAUGGGCGAAAGCCUGAUCCAGCCAUGCCGCGUGUGUGAAGAAGGUCUUCGGAUCGUAAAGCACUUUAAGUUGGGAGGAAGGGCAGUAAGUUAAUCCCUUGCUGUUUUGACGGUACCAAAAGAAUAAGCACCGGCUAACUUCGUG
RNAcentral lists this ribosomal RNA (484 nucleotides) under uncultured bacterium. RNAcentral describes it as "partial 16S ribosomal RNA". It matches the Rfam family "Bacterial small subunit ribosomal RNA", at positions 30 to 507 of the family's 1533-position model. The record is from RNAcentral.